This is a small nuclear RNA of Fukomys damarensis (Damara mole-rat), 107 nucleotides long. The record is from Ensembl. NCBI's taxonomy places the organism in Eukaryota, Metazoa, Chordata, Mammalia, Rodentia, Bathyergidae.
GUGUUCCCUUUGGCAGUGCAUAUACUAAAAUAGGAACCAUACAGAGCAGGUCAGCAAGAUCCCUGCGCAGCAACGACAUAAAAACUCAUAAAGUGUUCCAGCAUUUU